Molecule: long non-coding RNA, 1618 nt
Organism: Rosa rugosa (rugosa rose)
Lineage: Eukaryota; Viridiplantae; Streptophyta; Magnoliopsida; Rosales; Rosaceae
Exons: 6
Source: RefSeq, a predicted model, not a curated record
GAUACACUGUGUGCACAUUAUCAAAAUAAACUUAGCUCAUCAAAAGGCAGUUGUUAAGAGGUUUCCUAAAACUGAUCCAUCUACCUUUUGAAGCAAAGCGCGGGCACACAUUCUAGUUCAAGCCGAAAUUCGGUAUACCGAUUUGUCGGUAACCACCGGCGGUGGCUCGGUUUCGGUUGCAGAUUUGAGAAACCGACCAACAUCGAUCGGUACCCGGUUGACGGAAUUUGUCGUCGGUUUUCUACCGAAUCCAUGCGUACAGUAUUUUAUAGCUCCCGAAGCAAACCUAUUUCUCUCCGCCUCUCCCUCCCCGAGUCUGCGUUUGCGGAUCUGAAUAGGCCCGAACUGUUCGGCAAGCAUUUCGUGGUGUUUGUUAACCUUCAAGAUGUUUCCACACAAGUGGGGAAAGACGAAACACGAGGACAGGCAAAAAGUUCCAAAGGCUAACGAAUUUAUGUCUUUAGCUGAGGCUUCUAAUAGGAGCGGACAAGGAUCACGAAGUAGGCCUGUAGUUAAUUCACCGAUUGUAGAUGCUUUGAGAACAGCGCAGGUCGUUAAUCCAUUGUUAAUUCCCUAUGAAGGUAUCCCCAUGAUGUAUGGAUACAAACUACGGGGUCAGCUUCCGUUUGGAUUACGAAGCCUAAUAGAACUGCCAACAGGAUCCGAGAUAUUCACCGGCGCUUUAUUAGGUAAAUCUGCUUACAUAUUAAAUAUUUCUUUUAAUUAUUUUUUGACAAAUUUUAUUUCUCAUAUUUGAAUUAAUUAAUUUUCUUUGAUACUAAAAGCAAACGAUACGGUCAUUUCAUGGUUAUUACAAAAUGGGAAGACAAACUGGCCGAGUGGGAAAAAUUCGAAUGUUUGCGAAUUCUGUUGAAGUAGAUUUCAUUCCCGCCAGUGAAUCAGAUCCGGAAUUGAAAGUGGCACUUUUAGCAUUCUUGAAGAGCAUAUUGGGAGAUGAUAAUUUAAACGAGGAGUUACAACACUUUUAUAAUAUGAUUCAAGACUCUACUGAGGUUAAUUUUUGGCUGCUGGAAUAUCAUCCGAUACUAAUGAAUAUCAGGGAGCGAUAUUAUCUUCCUGCUGAUUGUCGGUUAGGGCUUCAGGAGAUUGAAGAUUGGGAAAAAAAUUUCAUAAUUAUGUGAGGCACCUUGGCCAUGCAUAUUGUGCCAUUAAAAAUAAAAUCUACCAGCCCCGUCACGAAGAUUUCGUAACUGUUUACAACGGUAACGAUAACAGAAAUCCUGACAAAGGUUUUCGUGAAGAUUAUGUGGGACUUUUAAGAUUUGUAAGAGCUCUGGUGUUUCAUGGUGCUGAUCCAGGGAGAUAUUUGCCGUGGGAGGAUGUAGAGCGAGAAUUAAGCAACAGAUUUCCUUAGAUGCUGAUCCAAUUAUUUGGAUUCUUAUUCGAGAGAAUGUCUGAAAAUGAUCUCUCUUUCUUAGUUGACCGAAGGUCUUCGGUUUCUGGUGAUGAUUGAGAAAGAGAGAUAAUAGGACUAUGCCCUUCGAGGUUUAGACACUGGGCCAUGAAACUGAAUUUAUGAAGUGGAGGGAUAAAUUUAAACUUAUAUUUGAAACUUUGAACAUAUUUAUUUUAUAUUGUUUUUUAUGAACUUUCUUAU